UCCACAGUAGCUCAGUGAUAGAACGGUCGGUUGUUAACUGACUAGUCAUAGGUUUGAAUCCUACUUGGGGAG
Molecule: transfer RNA, 72 nt
Filed under: Prunus dulcis (almond)
Lineage: Eukaryota; Viridiplantae; Streptophyta; Magnoliopsida; Rosales; Rosaceae
Description: tRNA tRNA.Asn
Rfam family: tRNA
About the family: Transfer RNA (tRNA) molecules are approximately 80 nucleotides in length. Their secondary structure includes four short double-helical elements and three loops (D, anti-codon, and T loops). Further hydrogen bonds mediate the characteristic L-shaped molecular structure. tRNAs have two regions of fundamental functional importance: the anti-codon, which is responsible for specific mRNA codon recognition, and the 3' end, to which the tRNAs corresponding amino acid is attached (by aminoacyl-tRNA synthetases). tRNAs cope with the degeneracy of the genetic code in two manners: having more than one tRNA (with a specific anti-codon) for a particular amino acid; and 'wobble' base-pairing, i.e. permitting non-standard base-pairing at the 3rd anti-codon position.
Source: Rfam by way of RNAcentral